UACGUAGGGUGCAAGCGUUAAUCGGAAUUACUGGGCGUAAAGCGUGCGCAGGCGGUUUUGUAAGUCUGACGUGAAAUCCCCGGGCUUAACCUGGGAACUGCGUUGGAGACUGCAAGGCUAGAAUCUGGUAGAGGGGGGUAGAAUUCCACGUGUAGCAGUGAAAUGCGUAGAGAUGUGGAGGAACACCGAUGGCGAAGGCAGCCCCCUGGGUCAAGAUUGACGCUCAUGCACGAAAGCGUGGGGAGCAAACAGG
Molecule: ribosomal RNA, 253 nt
Filed under: uncultured bacterium
Lineage: Bacteria
Description: partial 16S ribosomal RNA
Rfam family: Bacterial small subunit ribosomal RNA
Source: RNAcentral